CCACAGCCCAGCCGAACCCCACGGGCGCUCGUCUUCCUCCUUCUGCACGAGCACGAACAGAAAUAGGCACAACGCCGUCGCCAGCGCAAUCUCCUCCGGUUCCCCGUCCAGGUGCUCUGAAUCGAAUCCCACGAGCCUCCUCUCCCCAAUCCCCUCAGUUUCCCAAAUUACAGCCCAACAGUCUCCCCAUGGCUCUCCUCUCCAUUAAUGGCUAGAGCCAUUGAUCCCGGCGAGAUAAUCUCUCGACCCUGCUCUCCCCUUCCCCUAUAAAAGGCGCCCAGGUCCUCCUUUCUUCUCACCUCGCCACCCCCACGGGCUACGCCCAAGCGCUGCCCUAUUCCCCUCGCAAAUCGUCACCAUAGCUCGUCGCUGCCGCGGCCGCUCCAACCGGCUGUAGCCGUCGACCGACGUCGCCUCCGACCACUCCGAGGAUCCAGACGAGUCUGCCGCUUCCUCCUCGACCUCGCCCACGAUCUCCUCGACUCCGCGACGACUCCCUCGCUGUUUUCCUCAACGCCGGCGAACUUCCUCCGAUGAUGAGUGAAGACGUAGGGUUCACGGGGCCUAUACUCAAUAAAGCCAAGUGGCAUUGAUGGAGCCCAAGUUUUAUUUGCUUUAUUUUGCUUCCGUUGUAAAGUGAGCCAGCCACUAUAGCUGUGCAGAUUGUAAUAAUUAAACUCUGGAUUUGUCGUUGAUUAAUAAAGAUGAUAUAUGUUUUCUUGGUAUCCA
Brachypodium distachyon (stiff brome) is the source of this 729-nucleotide long non-coding RNA. RefSeq lists it as uncharacterized. The record is from RefSeq and is a predicted model, not a curated record. The transcript is spliced from 2 exons. Lineage: Eukaryota; Viridiplantae; Streptophyta; Magnoliopsida; Poales; Poaceae.